UUGUUGUAAGAAAGAUGAGACAGUUAAUGCUCCCCUUUAGAGUGGAUGGGAGAGGUCCUACCUACUGCUUUUAUAACAACAUGGAUAGUUAAGGCAUCGCUACCCAUUCUGUGGCAUUUAACCAUGUUUU
Molecule: small nuclear RNA, 130 nt
Organism: Gracilinanus agilis (Agile Gracile Mouse Opossum)
Lineage: Eukaryota; Metazoa; Chordata; Mammalia; Didelphimorphia; Didelphidae
Source: RefSeq, a predicted model, not a curated record